CACAUCGUGAUGCUUAUUUUAUCCAGGAGUUCUAGGUAAGACCACUUUUUCAAAUAUCCUCUGAACGUUGACUUAGGUGCACACACCUGUGCUUCCAUUGGCAACAAAAGCUUUGAAUGCACAGGACUUCCACGGCAUGAAAUGCAUUUACAUACAUUACAUAAGAGAGAAGCAAUGAGCAAGUCUGUUGCUGGGAGAGGCUCACAUCCUUCUCACCAAAUCAAUCUGUAACUUUCAAAUAGCUCUGCUGUAUUUCCUAGCAACAGGAGUAAACACUGUACUACAUCCAGUGCCCAAGAUUUGUAACCACGUUAAUCUGUUAGAAGCCUAGAUGUGUGACUGGAGAUGCCUCCUGUCCAUUCAAUCUGACUCCAAUGUGGUUCUGCAGCACUGGACAAAGAUGGGAGAUUGAAACAGGAGCCCCUGCGAUGGGGGAACAGAGCCAGGGAGCAGGGGUUGGACAGAACCCAGGUUUGAGAAAACAACCUUGUGAACCUUCUAUUGGAGCAGCAAUAAAGAUCUGAGCUAAGUGUCGAGGGAGGCUGAGGAGGUGGUCACUAAGUCUGUCUUAGGCAUCCCAGGGUCUCCUCAGAGUCCAAGCCUGAAGUCCACUGCAGGGGUCACCAGCCACCUGUGGCCACAUUGGAAUGUGGCCAUUCUGAAUUGAGCUUUUAAAACAGAUUUUUUAACCUGGAGUCCAAGGAGUCCCAGGAAAUCCACAGACGAGAUUCAAUGGAUCCUUGAAAUCCCUAAAAUUAAAUACAAAGCGGGGUAUGUGUGGACAUCUUUUCUCUUCAAGGAAAGAAUCCAUAGCUUUCAUAUGAUGCUCUUAAGACUCUCAGACUGAAAACAGUUUAAGAACUAUUGAGUUUCUGUGGCUUCCAAAGUGUUUAGCUCCUUCUAUUUAUCUAUGGAAUAGCUCUGUGAAUGACUCUCAAAACCAAGCUUUUCUGUGCCUCCUCAAGAGGCCUGCAUUUUAUAUGCAGCAGUACAACUUCCUUCCAUAAGACGCUUUUAUUUUCUGGCAGCAGCAGUAUCACAGGAAGAUGACUGGAAUUUAUAAGAUUGAUGACCAAAGAAGGCAGCUAUAAUGUUUUAUUCUCAAGAUGAUGGUUACUCAUCUUAGAAUAAAAACAACAACAACAAAAAAUAACAGAUGAAUGGGAAGAGCCCAAUCAAAGCUUUAUUCUACUCCUCAACAACUCAGGAGUUAAGCCUAAAGCUGCAGAUGAAAAUUUUGCCACCAUGAAGAAAAGAAGAAAUCAGAAUUGGAUUCUUUCUGAACUUUUCCUUUACAGUAGCCAGUAUAUGCCCUUUCCUACUUGAGCAAGUAUAAACUGGGUUUCUGUGAUUUGCAACCAAGUGUCCUGACAAACACAAGGAUGAAAGACAACUGUGUCUCAAUAAAGGAAAAAUAGUUUAUUUUUAUGAGUGGUGGAUUUAAAAAACCUACAUUACUGUGACAAGAGUACCUUAAAACAUUUAAGUCUACAAAAGGCACUUAGGGACUUUAUAGCAAACUCUACACUUAUAAUGAAAAGCCAGACCAGAUCAUUUUAAAAAAACGUUACUGCACGAGAUAAUGGCACAUCCACUCGUUCAAUUAACAUUUAUUGAGUGUCUUCAGGGGUUUUAGACUUGUGCAAUAAAAAUGAUAAAAACGUAUUCUUUGGUUUGAGCUGGUCCAUCCAAGGUCGUUCCAUAAAGAGCAGCUGUGUAUGCUGUUCAGACUAAUUGUGUGAAGCUGGAGAGGCCAGGUGUUUCUGUCUGGCCCAGCAGCUGCACUUUGCGGUAAGGGCACCACCUGAAUUUCAGUCUGGCCAUAAAAUGAGGCUGAAGAAACAGCACCUUGCAUGAGCUUUUAGGUGAAAGGCAGAACAG
RNAcentral lists this long non-coding RNA (1881 nucleotides) under Homo sapiens (human). Its description in RNAcentral is "HSALNT0093604". The record is from RNAcentral. Lineage: Eukaryota; Metazoa; Chordata; Mammalia; Primates; Hominidae.